ACACACCAAAUUGGUGUGUCUGGUCGACAGAAGCAAGAAAGGGGCGACCCCCAUUGUUCCAAAACCCUAAAGUCACAAUUUCUUGCAAUUGGAGGUUCAAAUCCUAACCAAAACGAAAUCCGAGCUUAGAAUUGUGUUCCUCAUCGCAAGAGGAUUAAGAGGCAAAGAGUCCGGUUCAUCUAGCGGACAAGCCGGAGGGAGUUCACGAGGAAAAGACGCGCUCUAAAAGUUCUCAGGUACCCAAGUAAGGAUGAAGAUCAAGCAAGCGAGUCGAACCGAACACACACAUUUUUAGAACGCUUCCGCAUCCAAACUUUUGUUUUAAAAACUAUGUAAUCUAAGGGUAAUUACCGUCUUGAAGGUGGUUUGUAACAGCAAUACAUGUAUGUUGUGUUAAUUUUGGGUUUAAACGAUGAAAGUUUUUGUUAAGUCAUCAUUUUGGCGUUAAA
This is a long non-coding RNA of Helianthus annuus (common sunflower), 449 nucleotides long. RefSeq lists it as uncharacterized. The record is from RefSeq and is a predicted model, not a curated record. The transcript is spliced from 3 exons. Lineage: Eukaryota; Viridiplantae; Streptophyta; Magnoliopsida; Asterales; Asteraceae.